GGAAGUAAAAAUCGUAACAAGGUUUCCGUAGGUGAACCUGCGGAAGGAUCAUUAUCGAAUUUUGAAUUAAGUUGUAGCUGGCCUUUCGGCAUGUGCACGCUUGAGUCAUUCAUUCACAACCAUUGUGCACCUUUUGGUAGGGUCGAUGACUCUGCUGUUUUAUUACAAACGUUUCAGUUACAGAAUGUUUAUCGUGCGCAACGCAUUUAUAUACAACUUUCAGCAACGGAUCUCUUGGCUCUC
RNAcentral lists this unclassified non-coding RNA (243 nucleotides) under plant metagenome. RNAcentral describes it as "partial contains small subunit ribosomal RNA, internal transcribed spacer 1, and 5.8S ribosomal RNA". The stretch from base 1 to 54 matches the Rfam family "Eukaryotic small subunit ribosomal RNA", at positions 1778 to 1831 of the family's 1831-position model. The record is from RNAcentral.